UCCCACAUGACAGCGGUCCACAUCAUCGGCUAAUCUAGAGCACUACGCUCAGCUAUAUCCAUCCGUUCAUCUCAGCCGGCCGGCGAGCCACCACCAUCCGAGCCAACAGCAUCGCCGUCCUCCUCUGCCUCCCCCUACCGCUUCCCCAUCGCCAUUGAUUUCGCGUGCAGCAGGACCAACGGCGCGCAGAAGGAUCAAGGACCACAGGCACACAUACACAUCUGAGCGUGGUGCGCGGCCGGCGGCAACACGGCAGGCCGGCUGCACGCCUGACGCACAGCUUGCGCGGUCGGCAGUUCCUCGGUGCGGCAGGGAAGGCCGUGUACUACACAGCCGGCUCCGUCGCAGGUUUCCAAAGCCAAGGUCACUAGGUCAGCCCGUGGCCGUCGACGAAGAUCGCCGCGAUGUGAGCACCAGGAAUCGCCGCCAAGGGAACAGAUACACGGAUGUCUCAGGUGCAGGUAUAUGUGUCGGAGGGGUGGUGAACUGUGGUGGUGGAACUGGUGUGUUUGCAAAUUGGCUCCAUUGUGGUGGCGGUGGAAAAUUUGAUGUCAUGCCCUGUUGCUGCAUUAACUGUUAAACACAUAUGUGUUACUACCGAAGAUGUUGUAUUGAAAUAUAACAAUUUAGAGUUUGGAUUAUCUGUACUCACUUGAUACAUCGCUUGGUUAUGUGCAUUGCAAGCCUCCAU
This is a long non-coding RNA of Zea mays, 691 nucleotides long. RefSeq lists it as uncharacterized. Lineage: Eukaryota; Viridiplantae; Streptophyta; Magnoliopsida; Poales; Poaceae. The transcript has 3 exons. The record is from RefSeq and is a predicted model, not a curated record.